This 67-nucleotide transfer RNA is filed under the name Phelsuma guttata. RNAcentral describes it as "tRNA-Trp". Lineage: Eukaryota; Metazoa; Chordata; Lepidosauria; Squamata; Gekkonidae. The record is from RNAcentral.
AAAUUUAGGAUCAAAUUAAACCGAGAGCCUUCAAAGCUCUAAACAGAAGCAAGUAAUCUAAUUUCUG